Molecule: long non-coding RNA, 993 nt
Organism: Topomyia yanbarensis
Lineage: Eukaryota; Metazoa; Arthropoda; Insecta; Diptera; Culicidae
Exons: 4
Source: RefSeq, a predicted model, not a curated record
ACGAAUCUACGGUGCUCGACUUACUGCCCGGAAUAGAACUGUAAACCCGUUCUUCAAAAGUGCUCAUGACAUGGAAAAAGCUACCCGGGGUCAAAUCGGGGGAAUUUUACUCGUCCGCAUUUGCGUUUCUCGACUGUGAAUAUUAACAUGGAAUCCUCCAAAAAGGAUAUAACCAUCAAUAGCGAACCGGAAAUGGAAUUCGAAGAGACUGUCGGACACAUCCGAGUCGACGAGAUCUGUGAGCUGCGGAAAUUAUAGUCGAUAUGACAAUAGAAAAGCGCAGAGAAACACUUCAUUCUCUAACCUUAUUCACAACGGGUCUAUUGGCACAGAGAAGUGUUAUUGUAUGCAAUUGCGGACAUCAACCGUACAUCGAAUCAAUCAUAAAGGAAAAUUUCAACUUGAUCAAACAAAAACGCAACCUAAAGGCCAAAUAUGAUGAUGCUUUAAAGAUAUGCAUGCAUCUUUCCGAUGCGCUAAAUAGCAAGCUUAUCGGAGAGCCUUGAGCAACGAUCUCUACUGAAGUAAAACAAAGAAAAACUUUAGAUGUUUUCCGAAGCCGGCAACAAAAGUGAUUAUAUUUUUGUCAAGCUGCUUAUGUUAGAGCUAUGGCAUGAUGGCCUCCAACACCGUUCGGUAACAGGCCGUACAUUGAACAAUUCGCCUGGGUCUGAAACGCCAGGAAAAUGUAUCAGAACCGUUUUAUCAACCAACGAACAAAUGAACCGCGCUUGAACUUGAGAAAGUGGAGUAUAUAGCUGAACGCCUUUUGGAACAUCGUUUGUUCAUGGGAGAUAGUCCGUCGACUGCAAAGAAAAAUGAGAUGAAUUCCAUCGGCCUAUGGCAAGAGCUAUUUCCUACUACUUCCGUCAUUUGGGGUAUUGUUUUCAGUCGAAUAACAAUUUGGGGAAUAUGGCGUUAGGUUAUGUUACAAUACAAAAACGACGAUUUUUAUUUGAACAUUUUUUGUGGACUUUUCAUGUACAUUACCAC